Molecule: transfer RNA, 88 nt
Filed under: Thysanolaena latifolia (tiger grass)
Lineage: Eukaryota; Viridiplantae; Streptophyta; Magnoliopsida; Poales; Poaceae
Also listed under: 18 other names
Description: tRNA-Ser
Rfam family: tRNA
About the family: Transfer RNA (tRNA) molecules are approximately 80 nucleotides in length. Their secondary structure includes four short double-helical elements and three loops (D, anti-codon, and T loops).
Source: RNAcentral
GGAGAGAUGGCUGAGUGGUUGAUAGCUCCGGUCUUGAAAACCGGUAUAGUUCUAGAAACUAUCGAGGGUUCGAAUCCCUCUCUCUCCU